RNAcentral lists this ribosomal RNA (742 nucleotides) under uncultured bacterium. RNAcentral's name for it is "bacterial SSU rRNA". It matches the Rfam family "Bacterial small subunit ribosomal RNA", at positions 96 to 841 of the family's 1533-position model. The record is from RNAcentral.
UGGCGGACGGGUGAGUAAUGCUUGGGAACUUGCCUUUGCGAGGGGGAUAACUAUUGGAAACGAUAGCUAAUACCGCAUAAUGUUUUCGAACCAAAGGGGGCUUUGCUCCUGCGCAAAGAGAGGCCCAAGUGAGAUUAGCUAGUUGGUAAGGUAAAGGCUUACCAAGGCGGCGAUCUCUAGCCGUUCUGAGAGGAAGAUCAGCCACACUGGGACUGAGACACGGCCCAGACUCCUACGGGAGGCAGCAGUGGGGAAUAUUGCACAAUGGGGGAAACCCUGAUGCAGCCAUGCCGCGUGUGUGAAGAAGGCCUUCGGGUUGUAAAGCACUUUCAGUUGUGAGGGAAGGUUGGUAGUUAAUACCUGUCAGCUGUGACGUUAACAACAGAAGAAGCACCGGCUAACUCCGUGCCAGCAGCCGCGGUAAUACGGAGGGUGCGAGCGUUAAUCGGAAUUACUGGGCGUAAAGCGCACGCAGGCGGUUUGUUAAGCUAGAUGUGAAAGCCCCGGGCUCAACCUGGGAUAGUCAUUUAGAACUGGCAGACUAGAGUCUUGGAGAGGGGAGUGGAAUUCCAGGUGUAGCGGUGAAAUGCGUAGAUAUCUGGAGGAACAUCAGUGGCGAAGGCGACUCCCUGGCCCAAAGACUGACGCUCAUGUGCGAAAGUGUGGUAGCGAACAGGAUUAGAUACCCUGGUAGUCCACACCGUAAACGCUGUCUACUAGCUGUUUGUGACUUUAAGUCGUG